UCAGUUCCUGGCAAGGGCCUGCUUCCUGUGUGUAGAUAGCAGCCUUCUUGCUGUGUCCUCAUGUGGCACUUGUAAGGGACUAAUCCCACCAUGUGGCUUCAUUCUCCUGACCUCAUCUAAACCUAAUCAGCUCCCAAGACUCUACCUCCAAAUAUAUAUUCACCAUAUUAGGGGUUAGGGCUUCAACGUAAGAAUUUGAGGGAAACACAAACAUCCCGUUGAUAACAGGAAGGAGCUUGAAACCGAGGAAGAGAAAGCCAGAGAAGAUGGGAAGAAGGCCCUCGGGGGCAGGACAUGGGUAAGGUCAGGGAAUAAGGACAGUGAUAACCAUCCAGUUACUUCUCUAAUAAUGAGAAAGGCCACGUCAUUUGGGGAGCAAUGCUGUCUGAUAUUAAACACUACUUCGUUUCGUAUUUUGCACUGUCAUUAGUCUUGCUGUUAGUUAAGGUUUAUUAACCGCUAAUGAAGCGUCAGCUGGUGGUGGUGAUGCCCUGGGAAAAGGAGGAGGAGGAGGGUCAGUCGGAACAAAGAAGGGAUGGGGAGACACCAAACAGUUGGAGGGAAAGGUUGAAGGCAGGAGCUCUGAGUUGAGGUAAUGAGAAAAGGAAAAAAAAAAAAAAAAAAAAAGUAAAAUCUCAGAAUCUCCUUCCCUUCAACCCAGGAACCCUCAGAGGCAUUUAGGAGGGAAAUUAAAUUCCUUUGGAAAUAAUAUAUCAUGGAAGUUGGAGUCCUUUCAUGUGGUUGUAGUUAUUUCUCUGAAUCCAAAAAGCUGGAGGACUUGAAAAGUGAAAUAUAAAUACCGAUUUCCUUUCUGUGUCUGUCUGCUCUAGAGAAUUCUGAUUCCCAAGGUUUGUGGUAGGGUUAGGUGCCCGGAUGGCUCUGAUGGGUCACUAAGGCCCCCGGGGCCACUGCCAUUGGCUGUGGAGGCCAGCAGAGUUUCAAGGGGGUGGGUUUGCUUUAGAACACCCAUCUUGGUUGCCCGGGUGAUGGUGGGAAGGUGGGGCAAAGCUUGGUUUUAUCAGGAGAACUGCGAUCACCUGACUCUGGACCUUCCCCAGGCCUCCUGUGGCACACAGGCUCUCAGGGCACCUGUCAUGCGUCCUGUCAUUUUGUGUUACCACUUUCUUAGAGGGAGCCCUCUCCUUGACAGCAGAGUGCCUUUCAUUUGUAAUUCCCGUUGAUUGUUGUCGAAGGAAAACAAAAACCAGCAUGUUUGUCUUUCAUUAGCCUGCGCGCCCCACCCCCCACCACCCCGGAAGACAGGGACAGAGCCAAGGCCACGUGGACCUAGUAUUUGACUACCGUCUUUGGAAUCCUGCUAGCUUCUAGCUUUUAUAUCUUAUCAGAAAGCCAGGAAAUUGCUAAAGCAAACACCCCCUUUUUGCAUUAGGCUAGGCCCAGCUCGAGUUUCAAAAGAAGAGCCUGGCUCCUUCCCCAGGAACAGGCUCCAGUGUUUCCCCACUUUGCAGUAAAAUGCAGAAAACAAUUGGGGAUGCUGCUGUGCUAACACAAUGACAUUAGAAAUGUGUACUUAGUUAAAGCUGAGAAUACUAGGUACCCUCCUUUAGGGGGUUUUCUCCCCUUAAAAAUGUGUCUUGUGCUCUGAAUUUAAGGGACAGAAUGUAACAAUUAAUGAGCACAAUACAAGGAACCGUCUUCUAGAGCCAUGCAGCCCCCACCCCGUGCACCUCCCUUUUGAAUGUAAAUGCGGGCAAUACCAGGAACCCAGCCGGGCACUGUGUUUGUGCUGUCUGGGUAUCUCCACUCUGUCUGUUUGGAGUCUUAGGUAAACACGCCCCCAGCCACAGAGCGUGGCCACGUGUCAGCGCUGCGGCCUCUUCCACCAAAGCGCCUCCUCUGUAAAUUCUGAUUAGCAUCUCUCGAACCCAUUGUAAGCUUGCAGAGUCCAAGAACAAAAGACGCUGUACCGGAACUCAAAACAGUAAGUGCGUUUACCCAGGAGCAGCUUUUGGUACAUCAUUCUUUUCCAAACAUCAGCAGAAAACUUGUACGUAAAGGGUUAUCUCACUUCAUGAUAUGAAGCUGGGUACAGGAUAGGUUGGGCGUCUGUAAAUGGGGUGUUGUCAAUCGUAUCUCAUCCUUCUGCCCCAGUGGGAAGUAAUACACAUAUUACACAUAAACACACGCCUCGUUAUACGAGUGUGACACAACAUGCUAACAUUUGUACUAUUAAUAACGAGCACUCAAAAUGCUAAUUGUCAUUUUUCAGGGUCCGGAGCAUUUGUUUCAGGAGAACAAGGCCACAGCUCACAUUGUUCUCACAGUAUGGCCAGCAGCUGGCUUUACCACAAUGGGGCCCAUUGUUGGGUAAAUGGAGUCCCUCAGGUGAAUGUAAUUAUGCAAAUCCUUCCAGAACCACCAGCACUCUCUUGGCCCUCUCCCCGGUGGCCUCCCACCACCGGGAACACUGUCACUUUUCAUUACAGGAGGCCUCGCUUGUGUGCUGGGAGUGUCCACCCCACCGGGCCCACUAAGGAGCUCCCCAGGAGACCAAAUCCUUUCCGCUGACACAUUUCUCCACAUGUGUCAAACAUUAAAAAACAUACCUUUAAUUCCCUAAAGUGCACACAGGUAAUUCUAAUGCCAGAGGCGAGAAAGGUAGGAUAAGGUCCUUUGCGAAAUGUGAUGCAAGUUAUAUAGACCCAUGGUCAAGUGCUAUAUACGCCGUGCGCGCGCGUGCGCACACACACACGCACGCACGCACACAGUUACUCUUCAUUCACUUUAGGACACUGGCAUCUCCAAUCCACAGACAUAAGCAAACUGAGCUAUUUUUUGUAAUUGUCUUAACAUUUAUUAAUUUUUGAGAGACAGAGACAGAGGUGAGCGGGAGAGAGGGAGACACAGAAUCCGAAGCGGGCUCCAGGCUCUAGGCUGUCAGUGCAGAGCCCCCCGCAGGCCUCGAACCCUGAGAUCAUGACCUGAGCCGAAGUCAGACGGUUAACCCACUGAGCCACCCAGGUGCCCCUAUUAUUGCUUAUUUAUUAACACAACUAUACACAUACCUAGAAAUAGGGAACCUGGACAAAAAGAUCUCUUGAAAGUCCCCACCCUUUUAAAUUUACAUGAGUCACUCCGUGUGCAGGGGUCAGUUUUUCCACAUUUUUGGUGAUUUCCCACAGUCACCAAAAUAGAACUCUGCCUGCAAGUGGGUCCCACACAAAUGUUGAGGGAACGCAAACUCAAACUAACCUCUGUUUACUUUUGAGAACUAGCUCAAUGAAAUAAGAACAUUAGUUUAAUUAUCAUAUAUUAUUAAUGAAUAACACUUUAUUUCUCAGCAAGGAAAUAAAUCCAUCAGAGACGGGCCCUAACGUGGAGCAGAUCCUGUCAUUCAUGACCUCUUCUCUGAUUCUCCGUCGUGGAGAGAGCUUGGCCACAGUGACUACAGGCUCAGGAGUUUGGAGCCGGUGAAGCCGGAAUAUCAAUCAUCAGGAUUCGAAUGAAGAUGGAUAUUCAUCAGCCCUUGGCUGAAAAAGCCACCGGGCUCCUUUCCAGGGCCGGUGCAUUGCGUUCUGGGAGACCAAGGCUGAGCUAAGGCAAUCGAAUGCUGUCCCCAGAAAGCUAAAUCACACCUUGCCUUUCAAGAUACUCUAAAACCAUCAACAAACUUCCAGGGUCAAUUCAAAGCUGCUCUAUCCUCUGUAUGAACAAUGAAGAAUGUGGCUACCUGCCAGCCUGGGCGCAUUCAUGACUGAAAGCAUCACGUGUCUCCUGAGCAUUAGCUAUGCUUUAUUAUUAGUGUUAAGGACAGUAGGAACAUGUGGAAGAUGGAAACUAAAUCCCAACUAUUUUCACUUUUGAAAUUUCUCUUCUAAUCCUAAUAGUGUACGUGCUCAUUUUUGCUUGGUAACCCACUGUGUGCAAAAGGACACAUCCUGCUUUCUUUUACUGAACAUUAGUUACAUAGCAAGUGUUUUCCUUGCUUUUUGUAGGGUACACUUUGUUUCAAAUGGCUGCAUUGUGCCAUAAUUUAAUGAAUGCCUUAUUUUUUCUUCCUUCCUUUCUUCAUUCCAAUUUCUUAACUUCCUACCCACCUUCUUUCUUUCUUUUCUUAUCAUAAAUCCUAUGGCUUCUUAUUUAUUUUGGCUUUUUUUUUUUUUUACCAAGUUAUCCGAUGUGGGAUUACCGUCUCAAGGCAAACAAUGCUUUUAUUAUUCUUUAUAUAUGAUGCUAAUUUGUUUUCCAAAAUAGUUGCAGCCAUUCACACUGUCAGCGAGGGUAUAGGAGUACAUCCAAUCCCCUAAACCUUUCUAACAGUGUGAGGGAUGUCUGAAUUGCCAAAAACAUCCUUGUUGCUAUUUUUACGUAUAUUUUUAUUUUUAGCAAGGUUGCUAAUUUUAAAUUUUUGUUAACUAUGUUUCCUGUUAUUCAGCUAAUUCAUUUAUCUACUGCAUUUUUUAAUGAAUUCUUUAAAAAAUAAAAAAUUUGCUAUAUUUGGGGCACCUGGCUGGCUCAGUCAGUAGAGCAUGCGACUCUUGAUCUCAGGGUUGUGAGUUUGGGCCCCAUAUUGGAUGUGAAGACUGCUUAAAAAAAAAAAAAAGAAUUUGCUGUAUUUAUCAUAUUUGCUGUAUACAUCUUUUCACAGCCUUUGUAUGCCUUUCUA
Neofelis nebulosa (Clouded leopard) is the source of this 4627-nucleotide long non-coding RNA. RefSeq lists it as uncharacterized. The transcript has 3 exons. NCBI's taxonomy places the organism in Eukaryota, Metazoa, Chordata, Mammalia, Carnivora, Felidae. The record is from RefSeq and is a predicted model, not a curated record.